This 399-nucleotide ribosomal RNA is filed under the name uncultured bacterium. Its description in RNAcentral is "bacterial SSU rRNA". It matches the Rfam family "Bacterial small subunit ribosomal RNA", at positions 509 to 906 of the family's 1533-position model. The record is from RNAcentral.
CAGCAGCCGCGGUAAUACGUAGGGUGCAAGCGUUACUCGGAAUUACUGGGCGUAAAGCGUGCGUAGGUGGUGGUUUAAGUCCGUUGUGAAAGCCCUGGGCUCAACCUGGGAAUUGCAGUGGAUACUGGCAAGCUAGAGUACGGUAGAGGAUGGUGGAAUUCCCGGUGUAGCGGUGAAAUGCGUAGAGAUCGGGAGGAACACCCGUGGCGAAGGCGGCCAUCUGGACCAGUACUGACGCUGAGGCACGAAAGCGUGGGGAGCAAACAGGAUUAGAUACCCUGGUAGUCCACGCCCUAAACGAUGCGAACUGGAUGUUGGGCACACUUAGGUGCUCAGUGUCGAAGCUAACGCGUUAAGUUCGCCGCCUGGGGAGUACGGUCGCAAGACUGAAACUCAAAG